AAAUAGGUAAGCUAAUUAAGCUAAUGGGUUCAUACCCCAUCAAUAAAGGAAUCCCUUUCCUAUUUA
This 66-nucleotide transfer RNA is filed under the name Nigidius sinicus. Its description in RNAcentral is "tRNA-Met". Lineage: Eukaryota; Metazoa; Arthropoda; Insecta; Coleoptera; Lucanidae. The record is from RNAcentral.